AAGAAAUCUGAAAGAUCGAAUGUUCAAAGCCUCAAUCAUCGACCAGUAAAAGAUAAAUCAAACGAAGUUACAAUUCCAAACAAGAACAACAUGCUUACCAAAAAGAAAUCACUGCCAUCUUAAACAGGAUAAAUCAAACGAAGUUACAAUUCCAAAAAUGAACAACAUGCUUACCAAAAACAAAUCACUGCCAUCUUAAACAAGUAAGUCCACAUUUUUAAUGGAGCUAAAGAAUUUUGCUGAUCUUUGUGACGUUGCAAUUGUCUUUCUUUGAUGCUAAGUUGUUGACGCUAAGGUUGAUACGUGCAAAUUCAUCGAAUUAAAUAAUACAAGUUAGGCAAUCUGGAAAUUACGACCAAGCUAUAGAGUUUCACGAAAAGUUAGCGGAAAUUCAAGAACAAUCAUCAGGUCAACAUCAUGUUGAUGAUGCUCAGUCUUUGAACAAUCAUGGUAAUUUGUUUUAUGAAAGUGGAAAUUACGAAAAAUCUAUAGAGUUUUGCGAAAAAGCUCUAGAAAUUC
Molecule: long non-coding RNA, 519 nt
Organism: Xenia sp. Carnegie-2017
Lineage: Eukaryota; Metazoa; Cnidaria; Anthozoa; Malacalcyonacea; Xeniidae
Exons: 4
Source: RefSeq, a predicted model, not a curated record